RNAcentral lists this ribosomal RNA (480 nucleotides) under uncultured organism. Its description in RNAcentral is "partial 16S ribosomal RNA". It matches the Rfam family "Bacterial small subunit ribosomal RNA", at positions 329 to 800 of the family's 1533-position model. The record is from RNAcentral.
ACGUACACUCCUACGGGAGGCAGCAGUGGGGAAUUUUGGACAAUGGGCGAAAGCCUGAUCCAGCCAUGCCGCGUGCAGGAUGAAGGCCUUCGGGUUGUAAACUGCUUUUGUACGGAACGAAACGGCCUUUUCUAAUAAAGAGGGCUAAUGACGGUACCGUAAGAAUAAGCACCGGCUAACUACGUGCCAGCAGCCGCGGUAAUACGUAGGGUGCAAGCGUUAAUCGGAAUUACUGGGCGUAAAGCGUGCGCAGGCGGUUAUGUAAGACAGUUGUGAAAUCCCCGGGCUCAACCUGGGAACUGCAUCUGUGACUGCAUAGCUAGAGUACGGUAGAGGGGGAUGGAAUUCCGCGUGUAGCAGUGAAAUGCGUAGAUAUGCGGAGGAACACCGAUGGCGAAGGCAAUCCCCUGGACCUGUACUGACGCUCAUGCACGAAAGCGUGGGGAGCAAACAGGAUUAGAAACCCGAGUAGUCCCAUGA